This 274-nucleotide ribosomal RNA is filed under the name uncultured bacterium. RNAcentral describes it as "partial 16S ribosomal RNA". It matches the Rfam family "Bacterial small subunit ribosomal RNA", at positions 523 to 796 of the family's 1533-position model. The record is from RNAcentral.
CUACGGAGGGUGCAAGCGUUACUCGGAAUCACUGGGCGUAAAGCGCGCGCAGGCAGCCUGAUAAGUUGGAUGUGAAAGCCUACGGCUCAACCGUAGAACUGCAUCCAAAACUGUCAGGCUAGAGUGUGGGAGAGGAAGAUGGAAUUAGUUGUGUAGGGGUAAAAUCCGUAGAGAUAACUAGGAAUACCAAAAGCGAAGGCAAUCUUCUGGAACACUACUGACGCUGAGGCGCGAAGGCGUGGGGAGCAAACAGGAUUAGAUACCCUAGUAGUCC